GAGACAGCAGUAGCCGCGGGAAUACGGAGGGUGCAAGCGUUAAUCGGAAUUACUGGGCGUAAAGCGCACGCAGGCGGUCUGACAAGUCAGAUGUGAAAUCCCCGGGCUUAACCUGGGAACUGCAUUUGAAACUGUCAGGCUGGAGUCUUGUAGAGGGGGGUGGAAUUCCAGGUGUAGCGGUGAAAUGCGUAGAGAUCUGGAGGAAUACCGGUGGCGAAGGCGGCCCCCUGGACAAAGACUGACGCUCAGGUGCGAAAGCGUGGGGAGCAAACAGGAUUAGAUACCCGUGUAGUCCCUGUCUCUUAUAC
RNAcentral lists this ribosomal RNA (308 nucleotides) under uncultured bacterium. Its description in RNAcentral is "partial 16S ribosomal RNA". It matches the Rfam family "Bacterial small subunit ribosomal RNA", at positions 505 to 807 of the family's 1533-position model. The record is from RNAcentral.